Molecule: ribosomal RNA, 993 nt
Filed under: uncultured fungus
Lineage: Eukaryota; Fungi
Description: eukaryotic LSU rRNA
Rfam family: Eukaryotic large subunit ribosomal RNA (bases 642-993)
Source: RNAcentral
GGAAGGAUCAUUACAGAAUAAACUUGAUGGGUUGUAGCUGGCUCUCUUGGGAGCAUGUGCACGCCUGUCACCUUUAUCUUUCCACCUGUGCACCCUUUGUAGACUUGGAAUUUCAAACUAUCUGGAGGUUUUCAAAAGCCUUCAGUUUGAGGGAUUGCUGUGCCCCCAACGGUCAGCUUCUCUUGUGGUUCCAAGCCUAUGUUUUUCAUACACCCUUAGUAUGUCUUAGAAUGUAUUCAAAGGCCUCAGUGCCUAUAAACUUUAUACAACUUUCAGCAACGGAUCUCUUGGCUCUCGCAUCGAUGAAGAACGCAGCGAAAUGCGAUAAGUAAUGUGAAUUGCAGAAUUCAGUGAAUCAUCGAAUCUUUGAACGCACCUUGCGCUCCUUGGUAUUCCGAGGAGCAUGCCUGUUUGAGUGUCAUUAAAUUCUCAACCUUAUCAUCUUUGAUGGCAAGGCUUGGACUUGGGGGUUUUGCGGGCUUCAACCUUUUUGAAGUCGGCUCCCCUUAAAUGAAUUAGCCGGAAAACCCUUGUGGACCCCGUCUAUUGGUGUGAUAAUUAUCUACGCCGCAGCAUGGGACCGCACUUUGUAAUGGGAUUUCUGCUUCCAACCGUCCUUUAGGGACAAUUAUAUGACUAUUUGACCUCAAAUCAGGUAGGACUACCCGCUGAACUUAAGCAUAUCAAUAAGCGGAGGAAAAGAAACUAACAAGGAUUCCCCUAGUAACUGCGAGUGAAGCGGGAAAAGCUCAAAUUUAAAAUCUGGCGGUCUUUGGCUGUCCGAGUUGUAAUCUAGAGAAGUGUUAUCCGUGCUGGACCGUGUACAAGUCUUCUGGAAUGGAGCGUCAUAGAGGGUGAGAAUCCCGUCUUUGACACGGACUACCAGCGCUUUGUGAUGCGCUCUCAAAGAGUCGAGUUGUUUGGGAAUGCAGCUCAAAAUGGGUGGUAAAUUCCAUCUAAAGCUAAAUAUUGGCGAGAGACCGAUAGCGAACA